ACAGGGAUUCCCUUAGUAAGUGCGACUGAACAGGGAGGAGCCCAGCGCAUAAGCUCGAUCGAGCGGUGUUGCGUAAGGAUCUCCCCUGCCAGGCGAUGUCGUUCGUAAGUCCGAGACUUGAAUGUGAUCUGUACGCCGUAGCCGGUGUUAGACCAAUGGCCCGCCGCAAGGCGGUGAAGGCACUCUCUGAAAGGGGUCGGUUGAGUCGGGUUGCCUGGAAUGGCAGCCUAAAGAAGGUGGUAAACUCCAUCUAAGGCUAAAUACUCGCACGAGA
RNAcentral lists this ribosomal RNA (274 nucleotides) under Euceramus sp. KES-2011. Its description in RNAcentral is "partial 28S ribosomal RNA". It matches the Rfam family "Eukaryotic large subunit ribosomal RNA", at positions 68 to 333 of the family's 3401-position model. Lineage: Eukaryota; Metazoa; Arthropoda; Malacostraca; Decapoda; Porcellanidae. The record is from RNAcentral.